UUUUUUUUAGAAAAGGAGGCUAAGCCCCGGCCUCUGCAUCGAGUGAUGCAUGCAACCAUCUUUAUUACUUAUUCAAUAAAGGUCUGACAAGAACAUACAUCAAACCACCCGAAGCCCCCUCUCACACCUACAAACCGUGAUAAUGUGGAGUGCUCUCACUCCCCAUAUCUAAAUCAGAUGUCGUCUCCGAUUCAUCCACAUGACGUAUCGGAACUCACAGCCUGUGCAGCAGACCUAAAGCGUACACCACAUGCACACGUUUUAGAAGCCGCCAUCAUCAUCGAACCGUUGAACCAUCUUUAGGAGAGAGAUUCGCAUAAUCCUUGUCAG
RNAcentral lists this long non-coding RNA (330 nucleotides) under Hordeum vulgare. Its description in RNAcentral is "long non-coding RNA (HVUL_LNC020946)". Lineage: Eukaryota; Viridiplantae; Streptophyta; Magnoliopsida; Poales; Poaceae. The record is from RNAcentral.